UACGUGGGGGGCAAGCGUUGUCCGGAAUUAUUGGGCGUAAAGAGCGUGUAGGCGGUCCGGUAAGUCAGCUGUGAAAGUCAAGGGCUCAACCCUUGAAUGCCGGUUGAUACUGUCGGGCUAGAGUCCGGAAGAGGCGAGUGGAAUUCCCGGUGUAGCGGUGAAAUGCGCAGAUAUCGGGAGGAACACCAAUGGCGAAGGCAGCUCGCUGGGACGGUACUGACGCUGAGACGCGAAAGCGUGGGGAGCAAACAGG
RNAcentral lists this ribosomal RNA (253 nucleotides) under uncultured bacterium. RNAcentral's name for it is "partial 16S ribosomal RNA". It matches the Rfam family "Bacterial small subunit ribosomal RNA", at positions 524 to 776 of the family's 1533-position model. The record is from RNAcentral.